UUUCAAUAUAGUAAAAUUUAAUAUCAAAUCAGCAUUAGCUUAUGAACACAAAACUGUCAAAUACUAGUCAAGAAAGCCGAAGUACCAAAGCCAAAGGAAUACCAACUUAUGGCUGAAAGGACACUAAUCAACCAAUGGGCUAUUCCAUCAAAUUUGCAAUAUCUUAGCAGGUAUGUAUCUCUUCUCAGUCUUAAAUGAACUCCACUUGUACUUACCAAGGUAGACUCUAGAAGAAUUUUCAAGAAAUGCAAGCAUGCAAUCACAUGUGACAGAUUGAGG
Molecule: unclassified non-coding RNA, 279 nt
Filed under: Hevea brasiliensis (rubber tree)
Lineage: Eukaryota; Viridiplantae; Streptophyta; Magnoliopsida; Malpighiales; Euphorbiaceae
Source: RNAcentral